This 497-nucleotide ribosomal RNA is filed under the name uncultured bacterium. RNAcentral describes it as "partial 16S ribosomal RNA". It matches the Rfam family "Bacterial small subunit ribosomal RNA", at positions 28 to 507 of the family's 1533-position model. The record is from RNAcentral.
GAUGAACGCUGGCGGCGUGCCUAAUACAUGCAAGUCGAGCGAACAGAUAAGGAGCUUGCUCCUUUGACGUUAGCGGCGGACGGGUGAGUAACACGUGGGUAACCUACCUAUAAGACUGGGAUAACUUCGGGAAACCGGAGCUAAUACCGGAUAACAUUUGGAACCGCAUGGUUCUAAAGUGAAAGAUGGUUUUGCUAUCACUUAUAGAUGGACCCGCGCCGUAUUAGCUAGUUGGUAAGGUAACGGCUUACCAAGGCAACGAUACGUAGCCGACCUGAGAGGGUGAUCGGCCACACUGGAGCUGAGACACGGUCCAGACUCCUACGGGAGGCAGCAGUAGGGAAUCUUACGCAAUGGGCGAAAGCCUGACGGAGCAACGCCGCGUGAGUGAUGAAGGGUUUCGGCUCGUAAAACUCUGUUAUUAGGGAAGAACAAAUGUGUAAGUAACUGUGCACGUCUUGACGGUACCUAAUCAGAAAGCCACGGCUAACUACGUG